This is a non-coding RNA of Anopheles arabiensis, 189 nucleotides long. The record is from Rfam. Lineage: Eukaryota; Metazoa; Arthropoda; Insecta; Diptera; Culicidae.
AUCGGCUAGAGGCUCUGCAAUGGGAUGGGAUCCGAAGUCCCUCGAGGGAUAAUACAGGCUCUCCCAUCCAACUCCUAUUCCGACACGUCCUCGUCGUGCAGAGUGGUAACGUGUGCCACCACAUAUCCAAGCUUGGGUACACGGGCUUGACCCAACUCCUUGGGCGGAUUGCAAUCCAAGAGGAGGGUG